AAUAUUUGACAAUGGGGGAAACCCUGAUCCAGCCAUGCCGCGUGUGUGAAGAAGGNCUNNGGAGUNUNAAGCACUUUAAGUUGNNNNNAAGGGCGUCAGGCUAAUACCAUGAUGUUUUGACGUUACCAACAGUAUAAGCACCGGCUAACUCUGUCCCUGCAGCCGCGGUAAUACAGCGGGUGCAAGCGUUAAUCGGAAUUACUGGGCGUAGAGCGCGCGUAGGUGGUUCAGUAAGAUGGGUGUGAAAUCCCCGGGCUCAACCUGGGAACUGCUUUCAUAACUGCUGGGCUAGAGUACGGUAGAGGGUAGUGGAAUUUCCUGUGUAGCGGUGAAAUGCGUAGAUAUAGGAAGGAACACCAGUGGCGAAGGCGACUACCUGGACUGAUACUGACACUGAGGUGCGAAAGCGUGGGGAGCAAAC
Molecule: ribosomal RNA, 421 nt
Filed under: uncultured bacterium
Lineage: Bacteria
Description: partial 16S ribosomal RNA
Rfam family: Bacterial small subunit ribosomal RNA
Source: RNAcentral